This 468-nucleotide ribosomal RNA is filed under the name uncultured bacterium. Its description in RNAcentral is "partial 16S ribosomal RNA". It matches the Rfam family "Bacterial small subunit ribosomal RNA", at positions 28 to 507 of the family's 1533-position model. The record is from RNAcentral.
GACGAACGCUGGCGGCGUGCUUAACACAUGCGAGUCGAACGGAAAGGCCCUGCUUUUGUGGGGUGCUCGAGUGGCGAACGGGUGAGUAACACGUGAGUAACCUGCCCUUGACUUUGGGAUAACUUCAGGAAACUGGGGCUAAUACCGGAUAGGAGCUCCUGCUGCAUGGUGGGGGUUGGAAAGUUUCGGCGGUUGGGGAUGGACUCGCGGCUUAUCAGCUUGUUGGUGGGGUAGUGGCUUACCAAGGCUUUGACGGGUAGCCGGCCUGAGAGGGUGACCGGACACAAUGGGACUGAGAUACGGCCCAGACUGCUACGGGAGGCAGCAGUGGGGAAUAUUGCACAAUGGGCGGAAGCCUGAUGCAGCAACGCCGCGUGCGGGAUGACGGCCUUCGGGUUGUAAACCGCUUUCGCCUGUGACGAAGCGUGAGUGACGGUAAUGGGUAAAGAAGCACCGGCUAACUACGUG